UCUAAAAUUUUUAUUUAUUUAUUUAUUUUCUUCGACCUUAGAUAAUGUUCGAUUUUGAAAACGGGCUCGUAAGAGUAUUCGGGUCACUAAACACGGGAAUUGAGCUUGUGGGCCUUGGGCCCAAGCCCAAACCCACUAAUUAAACCCUAGGUAUUUAUGUCUAGUAAAACCCUAAAUGAGUUUUUGGUUGCAGCCGUUCAACUAAUUCUCUCCUGUGUUCUUUGUUUGCCUGCUACUACACCUUACCACCCAUAAAACAAAACACAGAGAAUUCAUCAUCUCCCCUCACUCUCAAUGAUACACACAAUACCUUACACAACCACAACCAUCUCGACACCUUCACAACAUCGCUCCAUAUCACCCUCGCACUCGUCGGAAGGAUCAGCCAUCAUCGGAGUUCAGUUGCAACCACCAUUAACGACACCGGCACCGCCCUAAGUUCACGACGGUAUCACGUCGGAACUCGUAUUGUUUCGGUAUACACUACUCAUUUCUGUCAGAUGUGGUUUAACGCAAGUAACGCUAACAGUGGAUAUGUUUUUGUUUCUUUUCUGGUUCAUGUUCGGCAUCUCUCACAAUCCAACCUUUCGCUAUUUCCCUCACUCUCUCGUUAACUUGAAGCCAACCGGAGUUUCUACGAAACUUUCGGACCAACGUUUCGGGUAAUCACUCUCAUUCGUUCUCUUGGAUUCCCGUUUACUCAUGCACCAUCGUUUGCCCAUAUAAGGUGACCGCGGUGUUCCAUCCUUUUAAACUCGUACACUCGUCGACACUUGGAUAAUCGGAAGACUUAGCAAUUAUGUUGGUGAUUGAUGACACUAUGAAAAUGGAUAGCGAAGAUGCCUAGAUACUCAUUUAGACGCCUUAAGUUUAAAUCAUUGUAUCAAUUUUGUUAUGAUAUGUUGUCACUUGAAUUUCCUUGUAUGUUUUAACAAUUUAUGAAAUGAAAUCGGUUGAAUUAAA
This is a long non-coding RNA of Helianthus annuus (common sunflower), 963 nucleotides long. RefSeq lists it as uncharacterized. NCBI's taxonomy places the organism in Eukaryota, Viridiplantae, Streptophyta, Magnoliopsida, Asterales, Asteraceae. The record is from RefSeq and is a predicted model, not a curated record. The transcript is spliced from 3 exons.